RNAcentral lists this ribosomal RNA (468 nucleotides) under uncultured bacterium. Its description in RNAcentral is "partial 16S ribosomal RNA". It matches the Rfam family "Bacterial small subunit ribosomal RNA", at positions 28 to 507 of the family's 1533-position model. The record is from RNAcentral.
GACGAACGCUGGCGGCGUGCUUAACACAUGCAAGUCGAACGGAAAGGCCCUGCGUUUGUGGGGUGCUCGAGUGGCGAACGGGUGAGUAACAAGUGAGUAACCUGCCCUUGACUUUGGUCUAACUACAGGAAACUGGGGCUAAUACCGGAUAGGUGCUCCGGCUGCGUGGUGGGGGUUGGAUGGGUUCGGCGGUUGGGGAUGGACUCGCGGCUUAUCAGCUUGUUGGUGGGGUAGUGGCUUACCAGGGCUUUGACGGGUAGCCGGCCUGAGAGGGUGACCGGCCACAUUGGGACUGAGAUACGGCCCAGCCUCCUACGGGAGGCAGCAGUGGGGAAUAUUGCACAAUGGGCGGAAGCCUGAUGCAGCAACGCCGCGUGCGGGAUGACGGCCUUCGGGUUGUAAACCGCUUUCGCCUGUGACGAAGCGUGAGUGACGGUAAUGGGUAAAGAAGCACCGGCUAACUACGUG